Non-coding RNA from Pelobates cultripes (western spadefoot toad), 610 nucleotides. The record is from the annotation of a GenBank genome assembly. Lineage: Eukaryota; Metazoa; Chordata; Amphibia; Anura; Pelobatidae.
CCUACAUUGGUUAAUAUGUGGUGAACAUACAGAUUAUAUUGAGUAGCAAAGACCUUUAUAUUGUUUAUUCUUACUUUUUUUUUACUACUGAUUUAUUAUUCUCUAUUUAUUUGUGUCUCUUAGAUAACUUGAUUAGGGUCAUUUUUCCUUAUACCGUUUUGACCAUUUUUACCAUCUUCAAUGUCUGCCUGUUCAUAAAAUGUUAAAUUAGAACAGCUUCUUUUAAGUCUUCUAAGGAUGCUUCAUCUGCCCUUUUAGUAAAUUUUGCAACCACUUAAGGUGAUGAAAACUGUGAAAAUCAAUUGCUGUGUUCCAUUCUGUCAGUUUAAAAAUGUUCAAGUUCUAAUUGUAUUAUCUUCAGUAUAUAUGGUCAGGUGUAACAACUUGAAACUGUGCGGAUUUCUGACACAAUAUUUAAAUUGUAAAAAAAAAUAAUGCAAAUUUCUACAAGGAACUGAUCUAAGAAAUGUGCAUCCCUUCUACUGAAAAUGAAUACAUCAUCUAUUAAACAAAAGAGGUUUGCAUGCAGCUGCAGUAAAGUCCAGAUGUUAAACUUCUCCCAUUCCAUGAUAUAUAAAUUGGUUUAGCUGUGUGUGAAGCUUAUUCCAAU